Molecule: ribosomal RNA, 745 nt
Filed under: uncultured bacterium
Lineage: Bacteria
Description: bacterial SSU rRNA
Rfam family: Bacterial small subunit ribosomal RNA
Source: RNAcentral
ACGCUGGCGGCAGGCCUAACACAUGCAAGUCGAGCGGUAGAGAGAAGCUUGCUUCUCUUGAGAGCGGCGGACGGGUGAGUGAUGCCUAGGAAUCUGCCUGGUAGUGGGGGAUAACGUUCGGAAACGGACGCUAAUACCGCAUACGUCCUACGGGGGAAAGCAGGGGACCUUCGGGCCUUGCGCUAUCAGAUGAGCCUAGGUCGGAUUAGCUAGUUGGUGAGGUAAUGGCUCACCAAGGCGACGAUCCGUAACUGGUCUGAGAGGAUGAUCAGUCACACUGGAACUGAGACACGGUCCAGACUCCUACGGGAGGCAGCAGUGGGGAAUAUUGGACAAUGGGCGAAAGCCUGAUCCAGCCAUGCCGCGUGUGUGAAGAAGGUCUUCGGAUUGUAAAGCACUUUAAGUUGGGAGGAAGGGCAGUUACCUAAUACGUGAUUGUUUUGACGUUACCGACAGAAUAAGCACCGGCUAACUCUGUGCCAGCAGCCGCGGUAGUACAGAGGGUGCAAGCGUUAAUCGGAAUUACUGGGCGUAAAGCGCGCGUAGGUGGUUUGUUAAGUUGGAUGUGAAAUCCCCGGGCUCAACCUGGGAACUGCAUUCAAAACUGACUGACUAGAGUGUGGUAGAGGGUGGUGGAAUUUCCUGUGUAGCGGUGAAAUGCGUAGAUAUAGGAAGGAACACCAGUGGCGAAGGCGACCACCUGGACCAACACUGACACUGAGGUGCGAAAGCGUGGGGAGCAAAC